This is a long non-coding RNA of Oncorhynchus keta (chum salmon), 579 nucleotides long. RefSeq lists it as uncharacterized. Lineage: Eukaryota; Metazoa; Chordata; Actinopteri; Salmoniformes; Salmonidae. The record is from RefSeq and is a predicted model, not a curated record. The transcript is spliced from 3 exons.
CCAGGUGCAUACUGUACUGUAGGUGCAUUUAUGUGAAAUAAAGUAGUCAUACCAGGUGCAUACUGUACUGUAGGUUCAUUUAUGUGAAAUAAAGUAGUCAUACCAGGUGCAUACUGUACUGUAGGUUCAUUUAUGUGAAAUAAAGUAGUCAUACCAGGUGCAUACUGUACUGUAGGUUCAUUUAUGUGAAAUAAAGUAGUCAUACCAGGUGCAUACUGUACUGUAGGUUCAUUUAUGUGAAAUAAAGUAGUCAUACCAGGUGCAUACUGUACUGUAGGUUCAUUUAUGUGAAAUAAAGUAGUCAUACCAGGUGCAUACUGUACUGUAGGUGCAUUUAUGUGAAAUAAAGUAGUCAUACCAGGUGCAUACUGUACUGUAGGUUCAUUUAUGUGAAAUAAAUGAGUCAUACCAGGUGCAUACUGUACUGUAGGUGCAUUUAUGUGAAAUAAAUUAGUCAUACCACACAGACAGGCGUACAGGAAACUGCCAAAGACAAAUAAACACUUGAGUAAAUCAAGGAUACAAAGUAUAUUGAAAAUGGCUGCUUCCACACAGGUGUGGUUCCUGAGUUAAGUAAGC